AUGUCAUGCUUUAAGCUGCCUCGAGGCUUGUGUGAUCAUAUCAAAUCCAUCAUAAGGAAAUCUUGGUGGGGCUGCAAGCAGGGUGAACGCAAACCGGCUUGGGUGUCAUGGGAUGUGAUGACACGUCCAAAACACCUAGGCGGGCUGGGAUUAAGAGAUUUGGAGAUUUUCAACCUAGCUUUGUUGUCACGUCAGGCCUGGAGACUCUUGCAAGAACCUCUGAGUUUGAGUGCAAGGAUUUUGAAGGCUAUAUACUACCCUUACAGUUCGAUACUUAAUGCUGAGUUGGGAUCUCGACCUUCUCAAAUUUGGCGAGCUAUCAUGGAGGGGCUGGAUUUGGUAAAGCAAGGAAUUAUUCACAGGAACGGUAAUGGACAAACAACGGAAAUAUGGAAUGACAACUGGAUACCG
This 411-nucleotide ribosomal RNA is filed under the name Triticum aestivum (bread wheat). RNAcentral describes it as "partial small subunit ribosomal RNA". Lineage: Eukaryota; Viridiplantae; Streptophyta; Magnoliopsida; Poales; Poaceae. The record is from RNAcentral.